UAUUCGAAAAUGAAAAUAUAACAAUUUUUUGCUCGUGAAAUAAAUAAUAUAUGCUGGCUGCUAAGUGCAUGAAUACAUGGAAUGAAAUUUAAAACUGAAAACUUACAGGGGCUGAAGCCCAGGUAUAUCAUGAGUCGGAUCCAAUAUGAUGAUGUCUGGCAACAUGGGCCGGCGAGACAAAAUAAAAACAACCUAUUAAAAAUAAACCAAACCUUGGCCGAACGGAACAGUAAACUGGUCCGGAACAGGAAAGGGUAGCGUACCAGUUCGAAAUGAUAACCGGGGACUUGCGAAACAUGAGCCGGCCCAGGUUUCAAACAUCCGUGUCCAAAAAAAUCCUAUUAAAAAUAAAGCAAAACUGGGCCGGACGGAACAGUAAACUUACCAAACAAAUUGGGCCGGAACAGGAAAGGGUAACGUACCAGUUUGAAAUGAACACAGAGGACUUGCAAUAAGCUAAAAAAAGAAGAACAAAAAUAGGAUCCAUCGUACAAUCCUGAGCCGGCCCAGGUUUGAUAAGGCCGGAGAAGGACCAAAAAGGGGGCAGCAAUCUCGAUGGGCUUGCGGAAAUAGCGGGCUGUACGUACAUACGUGGGAAUGUACUAAAAUGGACCGGUCCAGGAUAUCCAUCGGAUAGGAAAAUAGAAGGAAAGGAUAUCAGGAGCACUGGGUCUCGGGAGCCAUUAUGAAUAUUCGUUAUCGGCGCGCCUUUU
RNAcentral lists this long non-coding RNA (713 nucleotides) under Brachypodium distachyon (stiff brome). RNAcentral's name for it is "long non-coding RNA (BDIS_LNC005775)". The record is from RNAcentral. Lineage: Eukaryota; Viridiplantae; Streptophyta; Magnoliopsida; Poales; Poaceae.